CAACAGUGGGACUAAUACAUAUCCUAAGCUCCCUGACAUGGUGUACUGAGGACAUAAUCUCACUUCUGCACUUCUGCCAAGAGUGAAUCCUGAGCAAUCCCGAGGCCAAUGCACUGAGGAUUCUUCCACAUCAAAAGUACUAAGCAUAUUAAAAACAAAAUGAGAAAUAGGUCUACAAAAUAGAAACACGUAAGACAAAUAAGAGCCACAUGGUCUCAUAUUAGAUUUUGGAUUAAAGGAAUAAAGGAUCAAUAAAGAACAUUUUUGAGAUAAUUAAUGAAAUUUAUUAUAAACUUUGGAAUAGAUAAUAAUAUUAGAUUAAUGGUCAAUUUCCUGAUUUUUAUAAUUGCACUUUCCUUGAACUUAGGAAAUAAACAGUGAAGUAUUUAGGGAUAAAAGGGAAUGAUUCUGUGCCUUAAUUUCAAAUGGUAUGGAA
This 436-nucleotide long non-coding RNA is filed under the name Marmota monax (woodchuck). Lineage: Eukaryota; Metazoa; Chordata; Mammalia; Rodentia; Sciuridae. The record is from RNAcentral.